GACGAACGCUGGCGGCGUGCCUAAUACAUGCAAGUCGAACGGAAAGGCCCGGCUCUUGUGGGGUGCUUGAUUGGCGAACGGGUGAGUAACACGCGAGUAUCCUGCCCUUGAAUGUGUGAGAUCUCUAGGAAACUGGGGCUAAUACCGGAUAUGAGCUCCUGAUGCAUGGUGGGGGUUGGAAAGAUUCGGCCGUUGGGGCUGGUCUCGAGGCUUAUCAGCUUGUUGGGGAGGUAGUUGCUUACCAAGGCUAUGACGGCUAGCCGGCCUGGGAGGGUUACCGGCGACAUUGGGACUGCGGUACGGCCCAGACUCCUACGGGCCGCAGCAGUGGGGAAUAUUGCAGAAUGGGCGGAAGCCUGAUGCAGAAACGCCGCGUGCGGGAUGACGGCUUUCGGGUUGUAAACAGCUUUCGCCUGUGCCGAAGAGUGAGUGACGGUAAUGAGUAAAGAAGCACCGGCUAACUACGUG
RNAcentral lists this ribosomal RNA (468 nucleotides) under uncultured bacterium. RNAcentral describes it as "partial 16S ribosomal RNA". It matches the Rfam family "Bacterial small subunit ribosomal RNA", at positions 28 to 507 of the family's 1533-position model. The record is from RNAcentral.